GCUCACGUAGCUCAAACGGUAGAGCGCAUCCUUGGUAAGGAUGAGGUAACCGGUUCAAUCCCGGUCGUGAGCUCCA
This 76-nucleotide transfer RNA is filed under the name Bacillota bacterium. RNAcentral describes it as "Firmicutes bacterium (anaerobic digester metagenome) tRNA-Thr". It matches the Rfam family "tRNA". From Rfam's summary of the family: Transfer RNA (tRNA) molecules are approximately 80 nucleotides in length. Their secondary structure includes four short double-helical elements and three loops (D, anti-codon, and T loops). Lineage: Bacteria; Bacillati; Bacillota. RNAcentral also lists the same sequence under 1 other name. The record is from RNAcentral.